UACAGGGGGGGCAAGCGUUGUUCGGAAUUACUGGGCGUAAAGGGCUCGUAGGUGGCCAACUAAGUCAGACGUGAAAUCCCUCAGCUUAACUGGGGAACUGCGUCUGAUACUGGAUGGCUUGAGUUUGGGAGAGGGAUGCGGAAUUCCAGGUGUAGCGGUGAAAUGCGUAGAUAUGCGGAGGAACACCGAUGGCGAAGGCAAUCCCCUGGGCCUGCACUGACGCUCAUGCACGAAAGCGUGGGGAGCAAACAGG
RNAcentral lists this ribosomal RNA (253 nucleotides) under uncultured bacterium. Its description in RNAcentral is "partial 16S ribosomal RNA". It matches the Rfam family "Bacterial small subunit ribosomal RNA", at positions 524 to 776 of the family's 1533-position model. The record is from RNAcentral.